RNAcentral lists this transfer RNA (77 nucleotides) under Holosporaceae bacterium. RNAcentral's name for it is "tRNA-Asp". It matches the Rfam family "tRNA". Rfam says of the family: Transfer RNA (tRNA) molecules are approximately 80 nucleotides in length. Their secondary structure includes four short double-helical elements and three loops (D, anti-codon, and T loops). Further hydrogen bonds mediate the characteristic L-shaped molecular structure. tRNAs have two regions of fundamental functional importance: the anti-codon, which is responsible for specific mRNA codon recognition, and the 3' end, to which the tRNAs corresponding amino acid is attached (by aminoacyl-tRNA synthetases). tRNAs cope with the degeneracy of the genetic code in two manners: having more than one tRNA (with a specific anti-codon) for a particular amino acid; and 'wobble' base-pairing, i.e. permitting non-standard base-pairing at the 3rd anti-codon position. The record is from RNAcentral. Lineage: Bacteria; Pseudomonadati; Pseudomonadota; Alphaproteobacteria; Holosporales; Holosporaceae.
GGGGGUGUAGCUCAGUUGGUUAGAGUGCCGGCUUGUCACGCCGAAGGUCGCGGGUUCGAGUCCCGUCACUCCCGCCA